GCUGGCUUCGGUGAAUGCAGUUGAGGGAAGCAGACAGUGUCAGCGAUUGUUAUUUGAACUGACUGGCCGGACCGAAACGCUGUCUGUGUUGAAGUAGCAGUGAGGUCACGGUUGCAAUGCGAAAGACUAGCGCCGUACGGCUCUCCUGGGACAAAGGUGAUAUCUGACUUAGCCGUAACCCAGUACAGCACGCAGGCAGACAGCUCCCACUGUAACAAGACUCCUUGUACUUCAGAACCAGUGAAUGAAAUUACUUUAACCUUAGCUAGCUGUGCGCGCCGUCUUUCAUUCAGACCAGGAAUGUUGAUGUCAAUGGAGGCUUUUUCAAACAAUAUAUAAUUGGGAGAAAGAUUUGUGUCAGGCGUGUUGGUUAGUAUUUCCUGAGAGAAUGCUGGUGGGAGCACCAUGUGCACCCGCGGACAGAUCAUUGGAAGUCUCUUCGUGCUCUCUGCGCUGGAAAUAGGCUUCGGCAUCACCAGCGUGGCUCUGGGUGCAGUCAGCAUCGGGAGGAGCCGUGCUCAAGAACUCCACCUCGGGGACUCCUCACCGGUAUGGAGCGGGGUUUGUUUUUUAGUCUGUGGAAUAUGUGGAAUUGUCUGUGCGAUAAAGAAGUCGGGUCGCAUAAUGAUAUUAUUUUCUGCCUGUUGUAUCUGUGGACUGAUCGGAGGAAUAUUAAAUUUUCAGUUUCUGCGGGCACUAGCAAAAAGGACAGAAAUCGCUUACCCCGUACAUGUGGCUUCCAUGUCAAUGGCAUGUUUGGGAAUUGCAGGCUGCACUCUCUCUGCCUGGCUCACCUGUCGCCUGGCCAGCAACGAGCAGCAGAGGAUGUUCCUGGAAAGAGACCAUUCAUUGCAUCACUCCCACGAAAUGACAGACAAAGUACUUUAAGAGUGCCAGAGAAUCUGGAACAGAAAGAUGCCAAUGGAUCCUCAGUGGACAGUGAACACUCUGCAAAUCACUGCCACUUGACAGGCAUGCACCCUUGACCAGCUCCAGUCCACGCAUAUAAGUGGGAACUCCCACCAGGGAAUAACAAGGCUGUCACAUGGUACAAGAGAUUCCAGAUAAUAUGAGCAACGGAAUACCACAAAUUAUGCAGAAUGGGAGACCAACAUGAUGAAAAGAAUAUUUUACAGAAAUAAAACUUUUACUGCAAGUUAACUCUGCAUGAUGAAUGUGAUAUUUUUACAUAUCCCAUAUUUAUUAAUGCCAAAGCCUGGAGUUCAGGUUGCUACAAACAAACCACCACCCGCUACCAGAAAUAGCAGCGUGGCACUACAAUCUCAAGGAAUCUUCAAAGACAUACUUACUCAGCUCUGAGUUUACAAGAAGAUUUUAAGGUGAUCCAAAAGGUCCAGGUGUGUCGCUUUAAGGAAUGUUUUGUGAGAAAUCAAAGGCUAAACUUUUCAGAAACAUCACUCAACAGACUUUCCAAGAAGCAUGCAAAAUAAGCUAUUCAGCUUUCAAAGAAAGCACUUAAAUUGAACAGAUAUUGAUAUUCAAAAGCAAUUUUUCAUGGAAUGCCAACAAUACUAAAAACAAAUUCAGUCUCCAGUUACUGUAUCUAUACUGAAUGCACUACUCUAUAUACACACUGUGGGUGACACAUGGACAAUAUAAUGAAUAUUUGUUGUUGAAUUCUAUAUUUAAAAAUAAUGAAUCAUUAUUUUUCUAUAAAUGUUAAUAUGACUUCAUAACAAUAACACAGUAAAUAAGCAUUGCCUCAUCAGUGUGCAUUUGGGCUUCUUAAACAAUAUUCCUUCCUCACACAGCAAAACAUUUGUCUUGCAAUGAUUGGUAAAAGUUAAGAUAAUGGUUAUGAGGAUAUUAUAUAUACAUAAUUUGUUGUGCCACAUUAUUUUCAGUUGUGUCCUCAGUUUGCUAUUGUUUGCAGACUGUUUUCUGUUGGGUACACAUAAUGUAAUUUUAAUGCAGAUCAGACUGAAAAAUGAUUUCUGAUUGCAAAUUUGCAAAGAGUAAACAUUUACUUGAGAUAAAAUGAAAGUGAACCAACAGGACUAUUUGAGAAUAAGAUAUUUUACACCAACUACAAUUAUUAGCAAAGAAAUCUGGUUUCAGUUUCUCGGA
RNA transcript from Stegostoma tigrinum, 2088 nucleotides. It is a transcript of the gene named transmembrane protein 196, with no coding region annotated. The record is from RefSeq and is a predicted model, not a curated record. NCBI's taxonomy places the organism in Eukaryota, Metazoa, Chordata, Chondrichthyes, Orectolobiformes, Stegostomatidae. The transcript is spliced from 5 exons.